This 322-nucleotide unclassified non-coding RNA is filed under the name soil metagenome. Its description in RNAcentral is "partial contains small subunit ribosomal RNA, internal transcribed spacer 1, and 5.8S ribosomal RNA". The record is from RNAcentral.
UAACCGUAGGUGAACCUGCGGUUGGAUCAUUAAUACAUAUGUUAAUAUUCCGGGGCCAUGCGCGCUUCGGCGUUUGAACAUUGUUCCGGCGAAGCACGCAUGGCUCGUGGAAUGCCUGAAAAGGAAACAUCUUGUGAACUGUUCUGUUUCUGGCGGGGGAGUGGAGUUGCUUUCGGGCUCUCCGUUCGUCAGUUUGGGUUCUCCCAGGCCGUGGACAUCCCGCCAAACAUUUUAUUCAACCUAUGUCUUCUUCAAUAAUUUGUCUGACAAUUUUUAUGUAUGUAAAUACAAACAACUUUUGGCAACGGAUCUCUUGGCUCUC